CCUACGGGAGGCAGCAGUGGGGGAUAUUGCACAAUGGGGGGAACCCUGAUGCAGCGACGCCGCGUGGGUGAAGGAGUGCUUCGGCAUGUAAAGCUCUAUCAGCAGGGAAGAAAAUGACGGUACCUGAGUAAGAAGCCCCGGCUAACUACGUGCCAGCAGCCGCGGUAAUACAUAGGGGGCAAGCGUUAUCCGGAUUUACUGGGUGAAAAGGGAGCGUAGACGGCAGUGCAAGUCUGGGGUGAAAGGCGGGGGCUCAACCCCCGGACUGCUCUGGAAACUGUACGGCUGGAGUGCAGGAGUGGUAGGUGGAAUUCCGGGUGUAGCGGUGAAAUGCGUAGAUAUUAGGAGGAACACCAGUGGCGAAGGCGGCUUACUGGACUGUAACUGACGUUGAGGCUCGAAAGCGUGGGGAGCAAACAGGAUUAGAUACCCGGUAGUC
This 439-nucleotide ribosomal RNA is filed under the name uncultured bacterium. Its description in RNAcentral is "partial 16S ribosomal RNA". It matches the Rfam family "Bacterial small subunit ribosomal RNA", at positions 338 to 795 of the family's 1533-position model. The record is from RNAcentral.